RNAcentral lists this ribosomal RNA (443 nucleotides) under uncultured Rhodococcus sp. Its description in RNAcentral is "bacterial SSU rRNA". It matches the Rfam family "Bacterial small subunit ribosomal RNA", at positions 937 to 1382 of the family's 1533-position model. Lineage: Bacteria; Bacillati; Actinomycetota; Actinomycetes; Mycobacteriales; Nocardiaceae. The record is from RNAcentral.
GCAUGUGGAUUAAUCGAUGCAACGCGAAGAACCUUACCUGGGUUUGACAUAUACCGGAAAGCUGCAGAGAUGUGGCCCCCCUUGUGGUCGGUAUACAGGUGGUGCAUGGCUGUCGUCAGCUCGUGUCGUGAGAUGUUGGGUUAAGUCCCGCAACGAGCGCAACCCUAUCUUAUGUUGCCAGCACGUUAUGGUGGGGACUCGUAAGAGACUGCCGGGGUCAACUCGGAGGAAGGUGGGGACGACGUCAAGUCAUCAUGCCCCUUAUGUCCAGGGCUUCACACAUGCUACAAUGGCCAGUACAGAGGGCUGCGAGACCGUGAGGUGGAGCGAAUCCCUUAAAGCUGGUCUCAGUUCGGAUCGGGGUCUGCAACUCGACCCCGUGAAGUCGGAGUCGCUAGUAAUCGCAGAUCAGCAACGCUGCGGUGAAUACGUUCCCGGGCCUU